This 531-nucleotide long non-coding RNA is filed under the name Zea mays. Its description in RNAcentral is "long non-coding RNA (ZMAY_LNC000523)". Lineage: Eukaryota; Viridiplantae; Streptophyta; Magnoliopsida; Poales; Poaceae. The record is from RNAcentral.
UUACCUUUAGCAUCGCCCCCUACAAUGGGAGCAGAUCAAGCUAUCCAUCCCAUACAUGUAUGUGAGCUAACAUCACUGCAACAGAGAACAGCAGAGAAGGGAGAAAGGACCAGUGAACAUUUAUAUAUCCCCAUUACAUUUAUAUAUCUGUUUAAUGCUAAAGAUCAAGUCUGACAAAUAUUCUGGAGGCAAAGGAUAUACCGAAGGUAGUACUGGCAUGGAGACUGCCAAAUAACGCCAAUGAUCAGACACGUGCAUACAAAUCCACCAUGGGCUACUGCAUGAGACCUAGUACAGUACCGAGGUAUGGAAGGUUUAACAUGGUUCCUGUUGAUCAGCAACAGCAAGGCAUUUUGAGGAUACUUAGAUGUGGGACUAACCAAAUAUUUUCUAGGCUUAGCAGGCUAUGGUAAUAUUUAGAUUUUUUUAGAUAAUGAUGGUAAUAUUUAGAUGAUUGCCCAUAACUAUGAUGGUAAUGCAAUAGCAUUAAGCUUAUUCUUGUGAGCAGCGGAAAUCUCACCCAACAUAUGC